Molecule: ribosomal RNA, 2383 nt
Filed under: Paraburkholderia sp.
Lineage: Bacteria; Pseudomonadati; Pseudomonadota; Betaproteobacteria; Burkholderiales; Burkholderiaceae
Description: partial 23S ribosomal RNA
Rfam family: Bacterial large subunit ribosomal RNA
Source: RNAcentral
GGUCAAGCGAACAAGUGCAUGUGGUGGAUGCCUUGGCGAUCACAGGCGAUGAAGGACGCGGUAGCCUGCGAAAAGCUACGGGGAGCUGGCAAACGAGCUUUGAUCCGUAGAUGUCCGAAUGGGGAAACCCACUCCGAAUGGAGUAUCCAUGACUGAAUACAUAGGUCAUGCGAAGCGAACGCGGUGAACUGAAACAUCUAAGUAACCGCAGGAAAAGAAAUCAACCGAGAUUCCCAGAGUAGUGGCGAGCGAAAUGGGACCAGCCUGUACUCUUUAUCUUCAUUGUUAGUUGAACGCUCUGGAAAGUGCGGCCAUAGCAGGUGAUAGCCCUGUAGACGAAAACAGCGAGGAAGAACUAGGUGUACGACAAGUAGGGCGGGACACGUGAAAUCCUGUCUGAAGAUGGGGGGACCAUCCUCCAAGGCUAAAUACUCGUGAUCGACCGAUAGUGAACCAGUACCGUGAGGGAAAGGCGAAAAGAACCCCGGGAGGGGAGUGAAAUAGAUCCUGAAACCGCAUGCAUACAAACAGUAGGAGCCUCCUUGUGGGGUGACUGCGUACCUUUUGUAUAAUGGGUCAGCGACUUACAUUCAGUGGCAAGCUUAACUGAUUAAGGCAGGCGUAGCGAAAGCGAGUCCGAAUAGGGCGUUCAGUUGCUGGGCGUAGACCCGAAACCAAGUGAUCUAUCCAUGGCCAGGUUGAAGGUGCGGUAACACGUACUGGAGGACCGAACCCACUAACGUUGAAAAGUUAGGGGAUGAGCUGUGGAUAGGGGUGAAAGACUAAACAAACCUGGGGGAAAUAGCUGGUUCUCUCCCGAAAAACUAUUUAGGUAGUGCCUCGUGUCUCACCUUCGGGGGUAGAGCACUGUCAUGGUUGGGGGGUCUAUUGCGGAUUACUUCGCCAUAGCAAACUCCGAAUACCGAAGAGUGCAAUCACGGGAGACAGACAUCGGGUGCUAACGUCCGGUGUCAAGAGGGAAACAACCCAGACCGCCAGCUAAGGUCCCCAAAUAUUGCUAAGUGGGAAACGAAGUGGGAAGGCUAAAACAGUCAGGAGGUUGGCUUAGAAGCAGCCCCCCUUUAAAGAAAGCGUAAUAGCUCACUGAUCGAGUCGUCCUGCGCGGAAGAUGUAACGGGGCUAAGCAAUAUACCGAAGCUGCGGAUGCACAUUUAUGUGCAUGGUGGGAGAGCGUUCCGUAAGCCUGCGAAGGUGCAUUGAAAAGUGCGCUGGAGGUAUCGGAAGUGCGAAUGCUGACAUGAGUAGCGAUAAAGGGGGUGAAAAGUCCCCUCGCCGUAAGCCAAAAGGUUUCCUGCGCAACGUUCAUCGGCGCAGGGUGAGUCGGCCCCUAAGGCGAGGCAGAAAUGCGUAGCUGAUGGGAAACAGGUCAAUAUUCCUGUACCAGUGUGAAAUGCGAUGGGGGGACGGAUCGCGGAAGGUUGUCCGGGUGUUGGAAGUCCCGGUCCUUGCAUUGGAGAAGGCGCUUAGGCAAAUCCGGGCGCGGAAUUCAAGGGUGUGAGGCCAUUCACCUAGGUGAAGAAGCAACUGGAAGUGGUUCCAAGAAAAAGCCUCUAAGCUUCAGUUUAACAAGACCGUACCGCAAACCGACACAGGUGGGCGAGAUGAGUAUUCUAAGGCGCUUGAGAGAACUCGGGAGAAGGAACUCGGCAAAUUGGUACCGUAACUUCGGGAUAAGGUACGCCCCUGUAGCUUGACUGGCCUGCGCCAGGAGGGUGAAGGGGUUGCAAUAAACUGGUGGCUGCGACUGUUUAAUAAAAACACAGCACUCUGCAAACACGAAAGUGGACGUAUAGGGGUGUGACGCCUGCCCGGUGCCGGAAGAUUAAAUGAUGAUCUGCAGCUCUUGAUUGAAGUCCCGGUAAAACGGCGGCCGUAACUAUAACGGUCCUAAGGUAGCGAAAUUCCUUGUCGGGUAAGUUCCGGCCUGCACGAAUGGCGUAACGAUGGCCACCGUGUCUCCUCCCGAGACUCAGCGAAGUUGAAGUGUUUGUGAUGAUGCAAUCUCCCCGCGGCUAGACUGGAAAGACCCCACCGAACCUUCACUGUAAGCCCAGCAUUGGACUUUGAACCGAUCUGUGUAGGAUAGGUGGGAGGCUAUGAAGCGUGGACGCCAGUCUGCGUGGAGCCGUCCUUGAAAUACCACCGUUUUGGUUUGUUUGAGGUUCUAACCUUGGUCCGUAAUCCGGAUCGGGGACAGUGCAUGGUAGGCAGUUUGACUGGGGCGGUCUCCUCCCAAAGUGUAACGGAGGAGUACGAAGGUACGCUAGGUGGGGUUUGAAAUCGUGCUGAUAGUGCAAUGGCAUAAGCGUGCUUAACUGCGAGACCGACAAGUCGAGCAGGGUGCGAAAGCAGGUCAUAGUGA